Molecule: ribosomal RNA, 427 nt
Filed under: uncultured bacterium
Lineage: Bacteria
Description: bacterial SSU rRNA
Rfam family: Bacterial small subunit ribosomal RNA
Source: RNAcentral
UGAGGAAUAUUGGUCAAUGGACGCAAGUCUGAUCCAGCCAUGCCGCGUGCGGGAAGAAGGCCUUCGGGUUGUAAACCGCUUUUGUCAGGGAAGAAACGCUCUGGGUUAAUACCUCGGGGUAAUGACGGUACCUGAAGAAUAAGCACCGGCUAACUACGUGCCAGCAGCCGCGGUAAUACGUAGGGUGCGAGCGUUAAUCGGAAUUGCUGGGCGUAAAGCGUGCGCAGGCGGUUAUAUAAGACAGAUGUGAAAUCCCCGGGCUCAACCUGGGAACUGCAUUUGUGACUGUAUAGCUAGAGUACGGCAGAGGGGGAUGGAAUUCCGCGUGUAGCAGUGAAAUGCGUAGAUAUGCGGAGGAACACCGAUGGCGAAGGCAAUCCCCUGGGCCUGCACUGACGCUCAUGCACGAAAGCGUGGGGAGCAAACA